Molecule: non-coding RNA, 216 nt
Organism: Vicia faba (fava bean)
Lineage: Eukaryota; Viridiplantae; Streptophyta; Magnoliopsida; Fabales; Fabaceae
Source: the annotation of a GenBank genome assembly
AUGAUCAAAGGAGCUUCGUACCCGAACUUGCACGAUAUCUAUGAUUCGGAUCAACGUUUCUUCUGCCUACUGUGCAAUGAAUUCUGGAACACUCCUCUUUUCAACAGGUUUGGAGCAAGACUCCUGAAGCUUAUCCCUGGUGUAUUAUUGAAGCACCCUGUUCCGAAACAUAUGGCAGCAUGUAUUGGUGCAAGUUAUAGCAAUGUUUUAGGGUGA